Molecule: ribosomal RNA, 450 nt
Filed under: uncultured Glomeromycotina
Lineage: Eukaryota; Fungi; Glomeromycota
Description: SSU rRNA
Rfam family: Eukaryotic small subunit ribosomal RNA
Source: RNAcentral
AGCAGCCGCGGUAAUUCCAGCUCCAAUAGCGUAUAUUAAAGUUGUUGCAGUUAAAAAGCUCGUAGUUGAACUUCGGGGUUUACCCAUUGGUCAGGCUUAAUUGUCUGUACUGGUGAGAUAAAUCUCUACCUUCUGAGGAACUUUCAUGCCAUUUAUUUGGUGUGGGAGGAAAUCAGGACUGUUACUUUGAAAAAUUAGAGUGUUUAAAGCAGGCUAACGUCUGAAUACAUUAGCAUGGAAUAAUGAAAUAGGACGGACUGAUUCUAUUUCGUUGGUUUCUAGGAUCACCGUAAUGAUUAAUAGGGAUAGUUGGGGGCAUUAGUAUUCAAUUGUCAGAGGUGAAAUUCUUGGAUUUAUUGAAGACUAACUACUGCGAAAGCAUUUGCCAAGGAUGUUUUCAUUAAUCAAGAACGAAAGUUAGGGGAUCGAAGACGAUCAGAUACCGUCGUA